UCUCCCUUGACCUUGACCUGUCAAAGUCUCUGCUACCAAGAAAUCUUCUUUCCCUGCCACCUUCUCUUCGGUCAUCACCAGGCCUUUUCCAUAUAUCUUGUGUGCCACUGCCACGUGAUCGAGGCCUAUCCACAUACUCCAUACUUCUAGAUUCAUCAAAAGACCCAGAUCGAGAAUAUGGUCUCUCAGAGAAACUAGCAGCCCUCCCUGCCUCAGAACCUGGCCUUUCGAUGGCUUUCUGCCCAAAUCGAACUUUGUC
Molecule: unclassified non-coding RNA, 259 nt
Filed under: Hevea brasiliensis (rubber tree)
Lineage: Eukaryota; Viridiplantae; Streptophyta; Magnoliopsida; Malpighiales; Euphorbiaceae
Source: RNAcentral